This 563-nucleotide long non-coding RNA is filed under the name Homo sapiens (human). RNAcentral's name for it is "non-protein coding EWSAT1:15". The record is from RNAcentral. Lineage: Eukaryota; Metazoa; Chordata; Mammalia; Primates; Hominidae.
AUGAUGGAAACAGCCACCAUGUUGUGAGGACACUCAAUUAGCCUUGUGGAGAGACCCACAUGGGUGAGAAACUAAGGGCUGCCACCAACAGCCCACAUCCACUUGCCAGCUCUGAGAGCAAAUAGAUCCUGCAGGCCUAGUCAAGCCUCAUUUGACUGACGCCUCAGUCAACAUCUUGACUGCAAGCCCAUGCAAAACACUGAGCCAGAAACCACCCACCCAAGAAGCUGUGAAUUCCUGACUGGCAAAAAAUGCUGAGCAGAAAACCAGGAAAUGGAUGGACUCCACCUCCGCAGCCACGCCUGCCCGUUUGCGCUUACUGAACAGAGGUCCUCAGGAACGUGGUGCUCCACUGGAGGCUGCAGGUGGAUUAUCUUGUUUAAUCCUCACAACUUCCUAAUGAGAGCCCCUCUUCUUGGGCCUGCGAUUCCUCACCUGGAAGGGAGAAGAGUGGACUUCCUGCCUAGAGAACACCUUGGUAAACUCUUUGUGGUUCCUGUCAUGAGAAGGUGUGCAGCUUAGGGAAAAAGCCUGUGAGCUCUGGAAUCAGAUGGAACUGGAUA